Daphnia pulex (common water flea) is the source of this 733-nucleotide long non-coding RNA. RefSeq lists it as uncharacterized. The transcript has 4 exons. The record is from RefSeq and is a predicted model, not a curated record. NCBI's taxonomy places the organism in Eukaryota, Metazoa, Arthropoda, Branchiopoda, Diplostraca, Daphniidae.
GAUGCAUAGCUACUGUCAGUCAUCCCAACAAGUUGACUUAGCGCUCAGUCACUUACCAUUCCAUUAGAUCCUCAUGCUGUCAAAAGCCUAACACUCAUGUUUGAAGCACACAUAUAGUGGUAUACAAAUGUGUGGAGCUAAGGCAUUUUCCCAUUACUGCUACCACACCAACCACACUACGUCAAAUGCCUUACGAAAUCAUCACCCAAAUGAUAAAGCAUCAGGAAAUUUAUCCCACCCGAGGAGUAAUGCAGUUGGUUGCUGUAAUUCCAUUAUUAUGGUCUUUCAUCAUGAACAUUUCAGUGUGUUUCUUAGAAAAGAGCACGCAAGAUUCCCACGGACAUCCUUGAGCCAAUGCUGGAUUUUGUCCAUGACAGAAGAGGGACUUCCACCAACAAUCUGCUUCAUCCUUAUCUUCAAGACUCAUCCAGCUUUACUGCUUCAGUGCUUCUUAUGCUGCUAGUCCUGCUACACAACUUUUCUUGCUUCACUAGCGAGUUGGAUCACUUCAGUUUCUGUGACACACCUGCAGUCACUCACCACGGGAUUAUGGCCAGGUAAUGCAGAGGAGACGCCGAGAAGAUAGAUUUUCUCAUCUUUAAAAAUCGUUGGAAAAUCGUCACCGGCCUCCGCGACUCGUCAUCAACGUGGAUCAUCGUAUUGUUGGUAUUAUUUCGUUUGUGUUAGUGUUAGUUAACCCGUUGGCUGCCACGCCUUUGUUCUCCCCUAGCUC